AAAAAAUGAGAGUUUCCUAAAAAUAGAGCUCAGCUUUCGCGCCGCAGUCACUGAGAAUAAUGCAUCACAGACCACAUGUUGUUUGGUGAAAACGGAAAAACAACGGAGGCAACGCAUUCAAACAUGAAUUUUUCAUAAAAAGUAAUGUAUAAUAUACCUCUCUCAAACUUUUCACUAUGAUUUCCGUGCUGCGGUGCGAAAAGAGGAAAAACCAAAAACU
Non-coding RNA from Caenorhabditis elegans, 220 nucleotides. Lineage: Eukaryota; Metazoa; Nematoda; Chromadorea; Rhabditida; Rhabditidae. The record is from Ensembl.